AUUGAACGCUGGCGGCAGGCCUAACACAUGCAAGUCGAACGGUAACAGGAAACAGCUUGCUGUUUCGCUGACGAGUGGCGGACGGGUGAGUAAUGUCUGGGAAACUUCCUGAUGGAGGGGGAUAACUACUGGAAACGGUAGCUAAUACCGCAUAACGUCGUAAGACCAAAGAGGGGGACCUUCGGGCCUCUUGCCAUCGGAUGUGCCCAGAUGGGAUUAGCUAGUAGGUGGGGUAACGGCUCACCUAGGCGACGAUCCCUAGCUGGUCUGAGAGGAUGACCAGCCACCCUGGAACUGAGACACGGUCCAGACACCUACGGGAGGCAGCAGUGGGGAAUAUUGCACAAUGGGCGCAAGCCUGAUGCAGCCAUGCCGCGUGUAUGAAGAAGGCCUUCGGGUUGUAAAGUACUUUCAGCGGGGAGGAAGGGAGUAAAGUUAAUACCUUUACUCAUUGACGUUACCCGCAGAAGAAGCACCGGCUAACUCCGUG
Molecule: ribosomal RNA, 490 nt
Filed under: uncultured bacterium
Lineage: Bacteria
Description: partial 16S ribosomal RNA
Rfam family: Bacterial small subunit ribosomal RNA
Source: RNAcentral